This 516-nucleotide ribosomal RNA is filed under the name uncultured Marinomonas sp. RNAcentral's name for it is "bacterial SSU rRNA". It matches the Rfam family "Bacterial small subunit ribosomal RNA", at positions 60 to 566 of the family's 1533-position model. The record is from RNAcentral. Lineage: Bacteria; Pseudomonadati; Pseudomonadota; Gammaproteobacteria; Oceanospirillales; Oceanospirillaceae.
AGUCGAGCGGUAACAGGAAUUAGCUUGCUAAUUUGCUGACGAGCGGCGGACGGGUGAGUAACGCGUAGGAAUCUGCCUGGUAGUGGGGGACAACAUGUGGAAACGCAUGCUAAUACCGCAUACGCCCUACGGGGGAAAGGAGGGGAUCUUCGGACCUUUCGCUAUCAGAUGAGCCUGCGUGAGAUUAGCUAGUUGGUGGGGUAAAGGCUCACCAAGGCGACGAUCUCUAGCUGGUCUGAGAGGAUGAUCAGCCACACUGGGACUGAGACACGGCCCAGACUCCUACGGGAGGCAGCAGUGGGGAAUAUUGGACAAUGGGGGCAACCCUGAUCCAGCCAUGCCGCGUGUGUGAAGAAGGCCUUAGGGUUGUAAAGCACUUUCAGGAGUGAGGAAGGGUGUACGGUUAAUACCCGUAUAUUUGACGUUAACUCCAGAAGAAGCACCGGCUAACUCUGUGCCAGCAGCCGCGGUAAUACAGAGGGUGCGAGCGUUAAUCGGAAUUACUGGGCGUAAAGC